Molecule: ribosomal RNA, 578 nt
Filed under: uncultured bacterium
Lineage: Bacteria
Description: bacterial SSU rRNA
Rfam family: Bacterial small subunit ribosomal RNA
Source: RNAcentral
CCUACGGGAGGCAGCAGUAAGGAAUAUUGGUCAAUGGACGAAAGUCUGAACCAGCCAUGCCGCGUGAAGGAUUAAGGCCCUCUGGGUUGUAAACUUCUUUUAUCUGGGACGAAAAAAGGGUAUUCUUACUCACUUGACGGUACCAGAGGAAUAAGCACCGGCUAACUCCGUGCCAGCAGCCGCGGUAAUACGGAGGGUGCAAGCGUUAUCCGGAUUUACUGGGUUUAAAGGGUGCGUAGGUGGGCUUGUAAGUCAGUGGUGAAAUCCCCGGGCUUAACCCGGAAACUGCCAUUGAUACUAUAGGUCUUGAAUUAUCUGGAGGUAAGCGGAAUAUGUCAUGUAGCGGUGAAAUGCUUAGAUAUGACAUAGAACACCAAUUGCGAAGGCAGCUUACUACGGAUAUAUUGACACUGAGGCACGAAAGCGUGGGGAUCAAACAGGAUUAGAUACCCUGGUAGUCCACGCCCUAAACGAUGGAUACUCGACAUCAGCGAUACACUGUUGGUGUCUGAGCGAAAGCAUUAAGUAUCCCACCUGGGAAGUACGAUCGCAAGAUUGAAACUUAAAUGAAUUGACGG